GUCCUUUGGGUUGAAUCUAAGGUCUAGCCUGCCCAGUGAUAUAUAUUAAACGGCCGCGGUAUUUUGACCGUGCAAAGGUAGCAUAAUCAUUAGUCUUUUAAUUGUGGGCUUGUAUGAAAGGUUGGAUGAGAGAAUAGCUGUCUCGUUAUAAUAAUAUUGAAUUUUAUUUUUUAAUAAAAAAGUUAAAAUGAUCUAAGAGGACGAUAAGACCCUGUAGAUCUUUACAAUGUUUAGUAUUAAUAUAUUGUGGAUAAUAAAUUAGUUAAUAUCAAAUCUUGUUGUGUUGGGGCGACAGCGAAAUAUUUUAAACUUUCAUUUAAAACUAUCAUUUAUCAAUGUAAAAAUUUGAUCCAUGAGUUGUUGAAAUAAGACUAAGUUACCUCAGGGAUAACAGCGUAAUCUUCUUUACGAGUUCGAAUCAAUAAGAAGGGUUGCGACCUCGAUGUUGGAUUAAGAUUUUGCUUAGGUGUAGAAGCUUAAGAAAAAAGUCUGUUCGACUUUUAAAUUCUUACA
RNAcentral lists this ribosomal RNA (513 nucleotides) under Thermobia domestica (firebrat). Its description in RNAcentral is "partial 16S ribosomal RNA". It matches the Rfam family "Bacterial large subunit ribosomal RNA", at positions 1829 to 2600 of the family's 2925-position model. The record is from RNAcentral. Lineage: Eukaryota; Metazoa; Arthropoda; Insecta; Zygentoma; Lepismatidae.